AAAUUGUAAUGGUUGUAAGAUUGCAGAAAGUUUUAUUAGAUACUCUGUUUUUUCGAAACAAAUGUUCGGUAAUCUGGUAUCUGCGAAAUAAAUUUGACCGUUUUUCUGUUUUUCGCGGUAAAUGUUCGGUAAUCUGGUAACUCAGAAAUAAAUUUGACCGUUUUCUAUAUUUUCAUUCGCGCUCUUUUUGAACAUGGUAAGGGAUACAUACUUUAUUUUAGAUUAGUGAGAGGUUUCGGUAAGUGUUUAUCAAAUAUUCAGUUUUUCGCUUUAAAUUUCGGUAAUCUGAUAUUUAAGAAAUAAGUUUGACUUUGUUCUACAUUUUUUGGUUUCGUUUUGUCUUUCGCGCCAAUUUUUGGUAUUCUGGUAUCUGAGAAAUAAGUUUGACUGUUAAUUUUAUUUCUUCACUCGAGGUCUAGUCUUUUUUUUAAAAGAGUAAUAAUAGUCUGGUUUUGAUUAAUGAGAGCUUUUAAAUAGUCUUACUAGUUACUAGAUACCUUUUUCGCACC
This 509-nucleotide small RNA is filed under the name Arabidopsis thaliana (thale cress). Its description in RNAcentral is "ATSL258270". The record is from RNAcentral. Lineage: Eukaryota; Viridiplantae; Streptophyta; Magnoliopsida; Brassicales; Brassicaceae.